This 506-nucleotide ribosomal RNA is filed under the name uncultured bacterium. RNAcentral describes it as "partial 16S ribosomal RNA". The stretch from base 20 to 333 matches the Rfam family "Bacterial small subunit ribosomal RNA", at positions 47 to 358 of the family's 1533-position model. The record is from RNAcentral.
GACGAACGCUGGCGGCGUGCUUAACACAUGCAAGUCGAACGGAAAGGCCCUGCUUUUGUGGGGUGCUCGAGUGGCGAACGGGUGAGUAACACGUGAGUAACCUGCCCUUGACUUUGGGAUAACUUCAGGAAACUGGGGCUAAUACCGGAUAGGAGCUCCUGCUGCAUGGUGGGGGUUGGAAAGUUUCGGCGGUUGGGGAUGGACUCGCGGCUUAUCAGCUUGUUGGUGGGGUAGUGGCUUACCAAGGCUUUGACGGGUAGCCGGCCUGAGAGGGUGACCGGGAAUAGUGGGAGGGAGAACGGCCCUGGCCCGUGAAGGGGGCAAGGGGGUGGGCAUAUGGCCCAAGGGGCGGCGGGGUGAUGCAGGAGCGGAGGGUGGUCCAUGGGGGCCGGGCGUGUGUAAGCCGUUGUCGGGUGGGGAGAACGGUGAGGGAGGUAAAGAGGGAAAGAACCCCUGGAUAAGUGCGUGCGAGCAGGAGGGGUAAUGGAGCGGCAGCUAACAACAUG